This 545-nucleotide long non-coding RNA is filed under the name Fukomys damarensis (Damara mole-rat). RNAcentral's name for it is "lncRNA (ENSFDAG00000029328.1)". Lineage: Eukaryota; Metazoa; Chordata; Mammalia; Rodentia; Bathyergidae. The record is from RNAcentral.
UAUUUUUUCAAACCUGUCUUAAGUACUCACUAUAAUUCCUACAAUUUAUCAGGAUGAGUAGUCAUAAUUAAUUACUUUUCUACAGUUUAACUAAUAUACCACAGUAUUGGAAGCUUCCCCCUCAGGACAUCUUGGCUCCCAAAACGGUGAUUUCCAGUACACUUAUUACAUUAUAAGAAAACAGGGUACUGUUCAAUUCACUAAAUGUAGAUGUAAAACCAACCUCUGGCUCACAGACUGUAUUAACAUGACAACUGGAAAUAAAUUAUUCACUAAAGGAGAAAGCAGUUAAAUAUGAUGUAUUUAAAGUAUAAAGAGAAAAUAAUCCACUUUGUAUGUUAUGUUUUAUAUACCAUUGAGACGGUGUUGAGAAGAGAACAGAAUGAGAAGGAAAACGUGAAGGAAUCUCAGAUCCCGAAAGACAGAAUAAUUGGUUUCAGGUGCAGUGCAAGCAAGCCAGCCUCCUGAAACGGGGUCAGGAACUGCAUGAAAUGAUGCAAAACGCCCUCCAACUCCUGUGCCUCUGAUCCAAGGCCAGAAAGCAG